Molecule: transfer RNA, 73 nt
Filed under: Methanimicrococcus blatticola
Lineage: Archaea; Methanobacteriati; Methanobacteriota; Methanomicrobia; Methanosarcinales; Methanosarcinaceae
Also listed under: 7 other names
Rfam family: tRNA
About the family: Transfer RNA (tRNA) molecules are approximately 80 nucleotides in length. Their secondary structure includes four short double-helical elements and three loops (D, anti-codon, and T loops). Further hydrogen bonds mediate the characteristic L-shaped molecular structure. tRNAs have two regions of fundamental functional importance: the anti-codon, which is responsible for specific mRNA codon recognition, and the 3' end, to which the tRNAs corresponding amino acid is attached (by aminoacyl-tRNA synthetases). tRNAs cope with the degeneracy of the genetic code in two manners: having more than one tRNA (with a specific anti-codon) for a particular amino acid; and 'wobble' base-pairing, i.e. permitting non-standard base-pairing at the 3rd anti-codon position.
Source: Rfam by way of RNAcentral
GCCCAAAUAGCUCAGUUGGGAGAGCGCUGCCCUGAAGAGGCAGUUGUCGCUGGUUCAAGUCCGGCUUUGGGCA